Molecule: ribosomal RNA, 253 nt
Filed under: uncultured bacterium
Lineage: Bacteria
Description: partial 16S ribosomal RNA
Rfam family: Bacterial small subunit ribosomal RNA
Source: RNAcentral
UACGUAGGGGGCUAGUGUUGCUCGGAAUCACUGGGCGUAAAGCGCACGCAGGCGGCUUCUUAAGUCAGGGGUGAAAUCCUGGGGAUCAACCCCAGAACUGCCGUUGAUACUGAGGAGCUUGAGUCCGGGAGAGGUGAGUGGAACUCCGAGUGUAGAGGUGAAAUUCGUAGAUAUUCGGAAGAACACCAGUGGCGAAGGCGGCUCACUGGCCCGGUACUGACGCUGAGGUGCGAAAGCGUGGGGAGCAAACAGG